UACAGGGGGGGCAAGCGUUGUUCGGAAUUACUGGGCGUAAAGGGCUCGUAGGUGGCCAACUAAGUCAGACGUGAAAUCCCUCAGCUUAACUGGGGAACUGCGUCUGAUACUGGAUGGCUUGAGUUUGGGAGAGGGAUGCGGAAUUCCAGGUGUAGCGGUGAAAUGCGUAGAUAUCUGGAGGAACACCGAUGGCGAAGGCAGGUCACUGGGCCGCAACUGGCGCUGAGGAGCGAAAGCAUGGGGAGCGAACAGG
This 253-nucleotide ribosomal RNA is filed under the name uncultured bacterium. Its description in RNAcentral is "partial 16S ribosomal RNA". It matches the Rfam family "Bacterial small subunit ribosomal RNA", at positions 524 to 776 of the family's 1533-position model. The record is from RNAcentral.